RNAcentral lists this ribosomal RNA (210 nucleotides) under Triticum aestivum (bread wheat). Its description in RNAcentral is "partial small subunit ribosomal RNA". Lineage: Eukaryota; Viridiplantae; Streptophyta; Magnoliopsida; Poales; Poaceae. The record is from RNAcentral.
UUCCUGAAACUUGACUUCGCCAGGGCUUUUGACUUGGUUGGUUGGCCUUAUCUGCUAGAUGUAAUGGAGACUUAUGGUUUUGGGCAGAGAUGGAGAAACAUUAUUAGUCUAUGGUUGGCCUCUUCAUCUUCUCGGUUGCUUCUUAAUGGGUGUCCUGGACAUCCCUUUGCUCACAAAAAGGUCUGCAGCAAGGGGAUCCACUAUUUUUGA